This is a long non-coding RNA of Strongylocentrotus purpuratus (purple sea urchin), 1356 nucleotides long. RefSeq lists it as uncharacterized. The transcript has 4 exons. The record is from RefSeq and is a predicted model, not a curated record. Lineage: Eukaryota; Metazoa; Echinodermata; Echinoidea; Camarodonta; Strongylocentrotidae.
UUUUUUUUUUUUUUUUUUUUUUUUUAGGAGUGUCUGAAAAUAUCUAGUAUUCUUACAUUUUGAUCGCAUCUUUAAACCUUUUUUUCCUUUUUUCAUACGACCAGACAAGACGGAUAAAUCCAGCCAAGGUAACUUUGGUAUCCCUAUAAACAAUGGAACUUCGCCGAGCCAAGUGUGUUUUCAUCAUCAAAGUCGAGAUCCCACUCGGAACAAGACGUGUUGUCAAGCUGAUGAUAUUGUGUUUCUACCCAAUAGGCUUUCGAAUGGCGAUAUCAGCAUUUUAUGCUGUACAAACAGCGUUUGCCAAGGCUUCCAACUCAACAUUGUAGAAGAUGAUAAGUCUGAUGCAAACCAUAGUGAAAGCAGUGGACAUAACUUUACCAUUGCGACUGUAAUGUCCAUUUCGCUUUAUGUAGUCAUUGGUACUGGCAUCGUCGUCAUUGCAGCUGUGUUCAUCUGGAGAAAGAGAAAAGCUUUGAGAUGUCGCCAUCACGAGGAACACAUAUACUGUGAGCCACCAGCCCUCCCAGCAAGACUGUCAUCCUUACCUCACCCUCCUCUCUCCUGGAUCGAAUGCGAACAAGAAGACGACUCUUUCGAUGACGGCAACUAUGCUGGAGACGAUGAAUUGCAGGAACUCUCUACCACGUAUUCCGACUUUGUCCCUGGAGCACACCGGUCGCUCACUAGGACGAUCUCAACGCUCAGUCGCAGAGGCCUUCGUGACUCGGAAGUGGUCUACGCGAACUUUCCGUUUACGACUGUUCUUUCAAGAAUUAAAGCGGUUGGAUGGUCCUAUUUCUGAGGAUAUUGUGUAUAUGUGGAUUCUGAGUAUAUGUGUACCUCCCAAAAAGUCAUGAUAAUGGUGCAAAAGUUGAGGACGUUUUGCGGUGGUGAAGUCGGAGACAGCUGCAAUUUAUAGUCGUUGGGCCGCUGAAAAAAAAAGAAAUUAUAUCUUCUUUAGGAUUUGAAAACGAACUUGGAUCUAAACCAAGGCCACGCACCCCCCCCCCCCGAAAAAAAUGGCCUCGACGGAAACACUAAAGAGUCUAUUUAGAUGGAAAAGCAAUGUUAAAACACCGUGGUGACAAUGUGUAUUGCGUCAUUUACUUGGAGAAAUCAGACGCUUGACAGUAUGGCAAUGUGAUUAUGGACAACCAUUGAACAAUAUUUGUUUGCCUUAUUUGAAGGAUAGCGUCAGCGAUUAAUACAGUCAAAAAUGAAUGAGGAAAAGUACUUUCUUCAAAAUAAUUAGAAAUUAAGUACCAACAAGACUGGGGUUCUAUAUGGAGGGACAUAUCCUAAUAAGGGAGUUUACAGCUAGAUAGCACAUGUUACAAAUGACCCCAAAUAUCC